GGCGAGAUGGCUCAGUGGUUAAGAGCGCCGACUGCUCUUCGAAGGUCCCGAGUUCAAAUCCCAGCAACCACA
RNAcentral lists this transfer RNA (72 nucleotides) under Mus musculus (house mouse). RNAcentral's name for it is "tRNA-Ser". Lineage: Eukaryota; Metazoa; Chordata; Mammalia; Rodentia; Muridae. The record is from RNAcentral.